Molecule: long non-coding RNA, 22258 nt
Organism: Orcinus orca (killer whale)
Lineage: Eukaryota; Metazoa; Chordata; Mammalia; Artiodactyla; Delphinidae
Exons: 13
Source: RefSeq, a predicted model, not a curated record
GGGACCGAGGGCGCCGCUCCAGACGCUCAGGCUCAGCGGCCGUGGCUCACGGGCCCAGCCGCUCCGCGGCAUGUGAGAUCUUCCCGGACGGGGGCACGAACCCGUGUCCCCUUCAUCGGCAGGCAGACUCUCAACCACUGCGCCACCAGGGAAGCCCAGUCAUUAAAUAUUUGUUGAGCAUUGGCUUGAUACUAGAUUCUGGAGCUAAAGAGAAGAAAAAGCCAUUUCCCUGUACUUGAGAUGCUUUUGUUUUCCUGGGGCAAUAGACGCAUAAACAGGUAUUUAAAAUGCGCUGUGGUCAAUGCUUAAUAGAGAAAGGAGCUGGAUCAGGUUGGGAACAGGGAAAGACGGCACUUGAAGAAGAAACUUGGAAAGGUGAGGAUUUGAAGAAGGGCAUGUUUGAAGACUGUUUCCAUGUGGCUGGAGUUCUGGGUGAGUAGGUGGACCAAGAUGAUAUGAGACUGGAGGGAUUGGUCAGAGCUGAUGUGAAGGGCCCUUGGAUGGUGUGCUGAGGUUUGGGGCUUUUUCUUACAGGGAACAGGGGAUGAUGGAGGCCUUGUCAUAAACACUUGACAUUAAAAAAAAAAAAUUAUUGUGGUGGCAGCAUGAGGGAUAUAUGCAAUCAGGAGGAACCAGACACCAGAAUACCACCUAGAGCAUUGCAGUAGUUCAAGGCAGAGACGAUAAAGGUAUAAAUGAAGGUGGCACAGCAUCUUGGAAAGACUUUGAGAAGCAGCGAAAAGGAGGGAUGACCCUGAGAAACAUAGACUGUAAGGGGCAGCCAGAGGGAGGGGAGCCUGCCACGGAGACAAAACAGAAAUGGUCAGAGAGGCAGAAGGAAAAGCAAACUGCUGUCUUAGAAUCCAAAGGGGAAGAAAGUGCUGAGGGGUUGAAAACAGUUCCAAAGAGAGGUUAGAAAGUGGUUUUAAAAUAGCUUAAAAAAAUCACGAAGUCUUAAAAAUGGGCCUUUGGUGACCAAUGUGAAGGCAAAAGCAAGGAGAAAGAUCACCUCGUUUUGAGCAGCUCACACAUCAUUAUAGCAUCAGUUAAUACAAGACAGUGUUGAGUAUGCUAAAGUAAUGUGAAGAAUUAGAUUAGAUUUGAUUCUAGAAUGGUUUGAUAUCAUUGCUUAAGCUUUGUGUAUGUUAUAUAGUUUGGAGGAUACAAUAAUAAUAGUUAACAUCUGUUAUGUGUCAGGCCCUGUUCUUAGUUCUUUACGUAUGUCAUUUCAGUUAAUCCUCAAUUACUGUAUGAUGUAGGUCCUACUAUACCCACAUUUUAAAUAAUAAGCCUUGUUAUGUGCCUUGUAUGAGAACAAGUACCCCAUUUUACUUUACUUUUUGUUGUCUUUCUUGACUUUACUCUUAGGCCUCUCUGGCAGAAAUACUUGUGGAAAGUAUGUUGUUGAAUGUAGAAAAAACUCCCAUCUAAACUGCAGGCCGGUGAUGAAACAUGGUUGAGAAGCAUGCGAAUGAGUCCAGCCAAACGAGCUGAGCUGGUUAUUAGGAGAUGUAAAAGCGUGCCGAGUUGAAAAUCCCCAUGACUUUGGUUGAAUCCUCUUCCCUCCAAAAGAAGAGAAAGGGUGGAGCAGAGCAGGUGCUGCACUUCGAGAAGAGGUAGUUGAGUGAUAAUGUUAAGAAUCAGCAGUAACUGUCGGCAGCAAGAGGUCGCGUCGACAUUUUCUUGCCCUGUGAGUCAGCGAAAGUGGGAGAAAGAGCAGAUACCACUGGACAAGCGUUUGAGGAAAGUGGCAUCAUCUUUGAGAAAGCUAGGUUUUAGCCAGGGCUGAGACGUGCAAAGAUCUUGUAGCAAAGUAAAAAAUACCGGGAAGUUUGGUUGCAUGUUCCAAGGGACACAGUGGCAGGGGUUUGUGAAGGGAAGACGAGUGAGUUCAGGGGGCUCGGGGCCCGAGCAGGUAACAGUAGCAGAGGAGUGCAUGGGGCAGAGAAGUUAAUUCUCUCCUUUUUGCCCUCAUGCAACCUAUGUGCCCUUCGCCAUAACCUCUAGCACUCAGUUGUGUUGAUCUGUGGCCACAUCUAUCUGUUUCUCUCCCACAAGCUCCUACAGUCAGGGGCGAUGUCUCACACAUUAUCAUAUCUGUACCUUGCACAUAGAAGGCACUCAAUAAAUGUUUAUUAAAUGAAAAGUGGGGGAAAAAUGGAUGAAUGGAUACUUGUGCCUAAUAGGUGAGACUGACUAAUAUGGUUGGGAAAUAGGCUGGAGGUAGAUAUGGGCGAUCCAAGAUAACUUAUUUGGAGACGUUUCCAGAAGCACCCUCCUGGGCCUGGAGCCCAACCUGAAAGCUCAGGACGGUAAGCCAAGGCCCUAAAUCCUUGUCUGGUUACAGUUAUGCCCUUUCCCCCAGGGCUAGACUCAACAAAAACUGGCAUCCCACCGCAAAGUCUACAGUUCUGACAACCUCUAACAUCAGGAGUGUGUGUGUGUGUGUGUGAUGUGCCCAGCCUUCCUCUCCCCCGCCAGCUACCAAUUCUGGCCAGGCCCACUUGGCCUCUCUCCCUCCCAGCCUCUGUGGCCACUUCUUCUCAGCCAGAUGGAUUCUGCAGAGCUUUGAAAUCAGAAUGGGGGGAUUUGGAGAGGGGCUGGCGGCAAGGGUCGGUGGUGAUGGUUUUCCCUCCGCGUUCAGGGUAGAAGAAUGAGGGCCCCAUUGUCUGAGAGAUAUGGGAGGGAAAGUAAUUCAAUGGGUGUGGAAAGUUUGUAAGACAUAUUCUCUUCAAGUUACCUAAAACUUAGAAUGUUGUAUUAAGUGUAAAUUUCAGAAAUUGCUCCCCUACAAGGUUUGGCAAUAGAGUACAAAUCUCGACUAGGAAGCAAGUUACUGUGUUUCAGAGGACCUGAAAAGAAUCUACAAAUUAUAAAGAGUACAUCCAGAUCCUUUUUAAACUAUCUGAAUUCUUACAGUGUUGGGAAAGGUUCAAUGUGCUUAAUUUAAGAUAAAUCCUAUUUACACAUUUUUCUUUGCAAGUCCCUUUAUAAGUGUUAAGAGAUGGAGGAAUACAUUACAUCGAGUUUAUUUGACAGACGCUUCUCUUUAACCCUAAGAGAUGUUUCAUAUUUCUUCUGAAGUACUUUGCUGACUAUGAUUUCAGUUGGAGCUGCUUUUAAAAGAGUGUCCUCUGAUUAUGAAAAGCUGGGUUUUGGUAGUACUUACUAAAGUUGACUCUUUUGAAUCCAGGAGUUUUGUUUUACAUCUGCGUUGCAUCAGACACAGCUGAGGUUAGCGUUCCAUUUUUCCAUGCUUUCAUAGCCCUGUUUCAGGUCUGUGUUUUUAGGAAGCGGUUUGUAUUUUCAGCAUAGAGGGUCUUUAUUCAUUUGCCUGUGGAGCAUGCAUCUUGUAGAUUAUAUGCAAUGAAUUUUAAAUUCUAGACCUGUUUCUUUCACCCUUCAUUUGCCAGCCCACGUGUAGGAGCAUAGAAUCAUUUUAAUAUUAACUAAAAAUUUAAUUCAGAAGGCAUAUCUGCCAGAAACAUUGUACAGUGCCUUACAAAGCCUAGUAUAUUAUAGCCAUAUGCUUGUUGUUUUCUACUUGGACGCUGUUUUUGAAUACUAGUGUCAGUGUUCCCCUCCACUGGCAUGAAUAAUUGAGAGGGGAAGUUUUUGUAUUUUUGAAAAUUCAAAAAUUUAUUCCUUGAAGACAAAGACUUGAGAGAAAAUUUGCCUAUAUUCAAAGCACACUAGAAGGUUAUCUCAGAAGCAAUUUACAUUAAUCUUAUUUGGAAUCAGAAAGCUGAAAAAGACAGCCUAAGUCACUCUGAUUGUAUGAUUGGUUUAUUUCACUGUUUUUCUUUCUGGAAGCAAUGCAUGCUCACUGCAGAAAAUUAGAAAACAACAAAAGGCAAAAAGAAGGGAAUGGAGAGCAGAGAUAACCACUGUGAAUGCACCAGAUCUGAGACAUUCUUUUAUAUGACAGAAUAUAUCUAUUUAUCAUUUUGAAGAAAAUUGAGUGACUCCAUUUUCUAAGUGAGCUGGGAAGUUUUCUCUUGGCUUUUUUCAUGACCAUGUUAUUACUUAGUAAAAUAUGUCAUUUUGAAGCCUUAGAAAACACCCUUCCUUUACUUCUUCAAGAGUGGUGAAUUACACGUAGGCUAUUUACUCAACAUUUUUCAUCCUGUCAGCAUGGUUGGAUGCCAAAUGGCUGUUCUGAUUUUUGAAGGUAUGUUUUUUUGGUACUUGGCCAGGGAAAUCAUAACUCUUAAAAUGCUCCGUAGCCCUAACCAUACAAUUGGAUUUAUGGACAGAUAUUAUGUUCCAUGUUUUGUUGUUUUCUCACUGUUUUAGUGUCUGGGAUUGAUGCCAAAGGCCAUUCAGCCUCACUCCAUUUAUUAAAUUAGAGUGUACAACUAAGUUUACACAAUGGAGUUUAGAUGGGAAAAGAAAGACCUUGUUUAUCAUUCUACUUAGGUAUCUUUACAUCAGCGAGAAAGGAAAGUAUUCCCUCUAAAAUAUCUCAGUGAAAUCUCCUGAGCAAUAGGGUAUCAUAGUUAACGGAAGUAAUUACCCGACGCCUGAGCCACAAGAACUCCUUGCUUUAUUCCAAAACAUCUUCUCUACUGCUGCCAAGGAUGCUUUGUCCCCUAAAAUUCAAAUCUGUGGCUUCCCUCCUUAAAGCCCUUCACUUGCUCCUGGUUCCUGCCCUUCAGGAUUAAUUCCAGACUCUGUCCAAUGGCAAACAGGCCUUCGGUGAUCUGACUGCCAACCUUAUUCUUAAAUCCUUUACGGUAGUCAUAUUAAAUUACUUGCAAUUCUCUGAAAAUGUCACUGCUUUCAUGCCCCUGCACUUUUAUUCCUGUUUUCCCCUCUUUCUGGAAUGCUCUAUUGCACUGUCUCAGCUCAGCGUCACUUCCUCUGUGACAUUUUGCCUGACUGUGCUCUGCCCCAGCGCCCUCCCCCUUCCUGGGAGAGGGGACCCUUUGUGCCCCAUCACAUAUACAUACUUGUUUCACUGCAUCUGUAACACAUUGUUGCACUUGUUUGCACAUGUGCCUCUCCUUGUCUUUUUCAAAGCUUUUUAGUCUGCAAACCCCAUUCACCAUCUUUUGGGAGCUGAUAUAUCCUUUUGAAGUUUUCAUCUUUCUUUAGGAACAUUGUAAUAGCCUUUCAGCUUGCCUGCCCCCCUCCAUGCUCACCUGCUCCCUGAUUUCACUCUCCAUGCCAUCUCCAGAGUACUGUAAGCUCAGUAAAUGAUGGAUGGUGUUUCAAAGGUCUGAUGGGGACUGGGUAGAAUUAGCCUCAGGGCACGAUUAACAUGGGUCUAAUUUAUUUCCUAUAUCAAGGUUGCCUUGACCCUAGCACUGCCAGGGGCUGUGAGAAACUAGGUGAGGAGUCAGGUGCAGACAGCCGCAACUUGCAUGGGUUGGGCGUUCAGGGGUGUGUUGCUGGGGCUUCCUUGGGGUCCUGGCUCAGAGUGGUAAUGAAGUCAAAAGACACUGUCCAGUGACCACAAGUCGUAGCAGAAUUCUUUGUUUGGAGCUGAGAGAGACGUACAGUGUGGGAAAUACAAAGAGCAACAGGAAUCAGUCGUUUCAAAAUAUAUCCCCUGAGAAUCUGAAAUUUCAAAAUACUGUGGUUUGUGUGUGAUUACUUGGAAUACAAAGUAAUUCCUUUGCCACUGUAUUUGUUAAAGGGUUUUGAGACAUUUUCUAAAAGAAAACAGUGAUUCAGAAUGUAUAAAUUCGUAUUUCUGCCAACAAAAUUGAUCUGAUGGGUUAGAAGUGAUGGCUCAUUGUCGCUUUAGUUUGUGUCUUCCUGAUUGCUAGUAAGAUUAAGCAACUUUUCAUGUUUAUUUAUCAUUUAGAUUUGCUUUUCUGGAAAUGCUUGUUCACACAGUCUUUGCUCAUUUUUCUACCGAGUUUUCCUUCUUCCUAUAAAUUUGUAGGUGCUUGUUAUAUACUAUAGAUAUUAACCUUUGUCUUAUGCAUUAGAAAUAUUUCCCACAAUCUGUUGUAAUAUUUUUCUUUUGUUUAUGGUAUCUUUGACCUAAACAUUUUAAAUAAAUGUCUCUUUUCCUUUACAACUCUCUGGCUUACUGUGUCAGUUGAAAAUGUUUCCCUGACUCCUAGUGUAUAAAGUUAUUCUCAAAUUUUAUUCUACAAUAGUUUUUCACCUUUUGCUUUUAAUUCAUAUGGAAUUUAUUUUUGAAUAUGGAUUAAGGUAGGAGUCUGAUUUUAUUUUCCUUUAGAGGCUAUGUUAAAAUCUUGCUUGUACUAAGAUACAUUUUGAGACUCUCCAUUCUAAUGAUCUAAUUAUUUUUCCAAAUAACCAAGUUAGGUAACAUUCAUUGGGCAUAUCUGUGCCAAAUACUGUCCUAAGCACUUUACAUAUUUCAGCUCAUUUAAUCCUGGCAGUAACAUUGUAGGUCAAUUUUAUUAUUCCACAUGAACUUUAAAAUGCUUUCAUCAAAUAAAAAGAAACCCAUCGGGAUUAUGAUUAGAAUUACAUUAGAUUUAUACAGUAAUUUGGGGGAAAUUAACAUGUUUUGUAUCCUUCAAUAAUAUUUUGUAAAUUUUAUCAUAUGUCUUAAACCUGUCUUGUCAAAUUUAGCCUUAAGUAUUCUGUACUUUUAUCAGUGUUAGAAAUGGAAUAUAUGUUUUUUUCAUUUUCACUUCUCUCUGGCUAUUCCUAUAAGCAUUCUUACCGAUGCAGUAAGAAUAGUGUGUCUGUUAUGCAGCUUAGGGUCAAUUAUGCCGCAGUGGCAAGCUGAACUCUUGGUAGUAUAGAACAACAAAUAAUUUUCUGCUCACUCUACGUGCCCACCACAAGCUGGCAGCAUCUCCUUCACAUCAUCUUCACCCUGGGACCCAGGCUAAUGGAGUAACUGCUGUCAGGCACAUUGCAGCCUUGGCGUAGAGAGAAAGGAAUCAAGGGACAGCGUCUUCUGGCUCAUAAAGCUUCUACAAAGAAGUGCCCCAUGUCACACCCCUCCCCCCCUUAUGUUCUUAAGCCAGAGCAAAGCACAAGCCCAUAUCUGACACUGAAGUGUCAAGGAUGCAUAAUCCUCCCACGGGGAAGGGCCCUUCAAGUCACAAUACCAAGCCUGACGUCAGUGGGAUGGAGAUAAGUAAUAUUCCAACACGAAGGGCAGCAAAUGUUUUGAUCAGUAAUACAAUCUAUCACAGUGUUUUGUUUUUACAUUGGCAAGAUUGAGAAAUCCUAGAAAAUGAAACUUAGGUAAUAGAUAUCACUGUUCAACAAUAUCCAGUCCCUGUCUCCUUCCAAGUUUGCAAGAUUAUACUUUCUUGUCUCUUAAAAUUAUACACAGCCAUCUGACUAAUCCUGGCCAGUGAAAAUAUGAGUGGAACUGAUGUGUUUCACUUUGCAUGGAAGCACUGAGGAGUUGGAGCAUGAUUCCCCACGUUAUCUUCCCUGCCAUAUUGGUUGUGGAAGUAUGUGUUGAUGCGGAAGUACCAAAAGACCAAUGUAGCUAGAAUGCUGGGCCAUUGUAUAGAAGACAGUUAGGCCACCCAGGUGAAGAGCUUAUGAUUUUAAGUUCUGAGAUUUAAGGGGUUUUAUUUGUUUUUUGGUUUGUUUGUUUUAAUGCAACAUAGCCUAGCCUAUCCUGACUAAUACAACAUACCUAUUUUACAUAUUUUAACAAAAAACGUGUGUGUGUGUGUGUGUAUUCAUUGAUCCAUAUUGUUAUGUAGGACAAAGUUCUUUAAGGAUUGGUCCAGUGAUUUGGAUGCCAUAAUAUGGCAUAAACCACAUUCAUAAUGCAUCCUGUACAGUUUCCAGUUUGGAUUUCUCUACCAUGGAUCAAGAACUUUAAAAUACUUGGAGAAAAAUAGAAAUACAGAAUCUUACACCUUCCCCUUAAUCUUUUAUAAUUGUCACACCCAAACCAACAGCAUUUUUUGUAACUUUGUUUAAUCUUUCUAAAGCAGACAACUUAGUUUUCAUAAAAACAAUUCAUCCUUUUCACAUUAUUGUUUAUUGGAUUCAGUAAUAUUUCUUUAAAUUACUUAUUUAUAAUAAUAGUACAACUGUCGUAAAAAUGUUUAGGAGCAAGCACAACUGGAUAUUAGUAAGUGUACAGUCAACUGGUGAAAGUGGAAUAAAUGGUUAUUUCACAAGGUGAGAACAUUUAUCGUGCUGUAGCUAAUAAUCUGUAGGUUUUACAGAUGAAAUUGAGAGCCUCAUAAGUCCCAAGGGUCAUUUAAAGAGAAGUGAAUUAAGAGAGCUUCUGUACUCUUUGUACUAUAUUUCUAUGCAUGCAGGUACUAAUUUGUAUAUGUAUGUGUCUCUGUCUGUUUUAUUUAUCUUGUGUCCAGCCACAUUACUGAAUUAUCUUAUUAAUUCUAGUAUGCUUUUUUUCUUUGUUUGGCCGUGCCCCGUGGCAUGUGAGAUCAAUCAGAAAUCGAACCCACAACCCCUGCAUUGGAGGUGGGGUGGAGUCUUAACCACUGGACUGCCAGGGAAGUCCCUUUUUUUUUCUUUUUUAAAAAUUUUUUGUAGUAUGCUCUUUUUAAAAAAACUUUUUAAUAAUUUUAUUUUUUUAUACAGCAGAUUCUUAUUAGUUAACUAUUUUAUACAUAUUGGUGUGUACAUGUCAAUCCCAGUCUCCCAAUGCAUCCCACCACCACCACCCCACCACCCGCCGCUUUCCCCCCUUGGUGUCCAUAUGUUUGUUCUCUACAUCUGUGUCUCUAUUUCUGCCUUGCAAACCGGUUCAACUGUACCAUUUUUCUAGAUUCCACAUAUAUGCGUUAAUAUAUGAUAUUUGUUUUUCUCUUUCUGACUUACUUCACUCUGUAUGACAGUCUCUAGGUCCAUCCACGUCUCUGCAAAUGACCCAAUUUCGUUCCUUUUUAUGGCUGAGUAAUAUUCCAUUGUAUAUAUGUACCACAUCUUCUUUAUCCAUUCAUCUGUCGAUGGGCAUUUAGGUUGUUUCCAUGACCUGGCUACUGUAAAUAGUGCUGCAGUGAGCAUUGGGGUGCAUGUGUCUUCUUGAAUUAUGGUUUUCUCUGGGUGUAUGCCCAGUAGUGGGAUUGCUGGGUCAUAUGGUAAUUCUAUUUUUAGUUUUUUAAGGAACCUCCAUACUGUUCGCCAUAGUGGCUGUAUCAAUUUACAUUCCCACCAACAGUGCAAGAAGGCUCCCUUUUCUCCACACCCUCUCCAGCAUUUGUUGUUUGUAGAUUUUCUGAUGAUACCCAUUCUAAUGUAGUAUGCUCUUUUUAAAAGCAUUAUCUUGCAGUCUCUAAAUAGGUUAUCAGCAAAAGAUAAUUUAAUUUCUCUUUCAAUUUUAUGUUGUUUCCUUUUCUUACUGCACUUGUUACAACCUCCAAAACGAGUAAAUAAUGGUGUAAAUAAUGGUGAUAGUAGGUAUUAUGAUUCAGGUCCGUCUAACUGAAUUUUGGUCAAAAGAAUGUGGGUGGAAAAGAUUUACCACACUUCCGGUCUUACCUCAGCCUGCCAUGUGGUUCUCCACUCUGUCUUCCCUUCUCUGCCAUUCAGAUGCAAAGGACUUGGUGGAGAAUUCUGAGGUCCUCGAAGAUGGCAGAGCCACUGAUGGAAAUAUCCUGGGUCUCUGAAUAACUGUCUGUAGGAGAGCUGCAUUGCUGACCCACACUGGAUUAUGAUGUGAUGAGAAAUAAUUUAUUAUGUGAAGCCACUGAGGUUUGGGGCUCUUUGUAAGAUAAGCUAGCCUAUGCUAGUAGUACAUCUUCUAAUAAGAUUUUAGGUAGAGUUUAUAUUUGGAAUGACUGCUCACCUUUUUCAGAUGGCUUUUAAUCAUCUAUUUAUAUAAGCAUUUUCUUCAUUAAUUUGCUGGUGCAAUGAAUUAUGUUGACAGAUUUCUUAAUAUUGAACCAGCCCUGUAUCCCUGGAAUAACCCUACUUGGUUGUAAUACAUUUUUCUUUUGUUAUUCCAAAAUACUCUAUUUCCUAAGAUUUUAUUCAGAAUUUUUGCACUAGUAAUCUUAAGUGAGGUCAUUCUAUAUUUUCUUUCAUUGUACUGUUUUUUAAAAAAUCAGAUUAAGAUUUUGCUGGCUUUAUGCAAUCAAAUGUGUAGCUUUCAGGUCUUUUUCUAUGGUUUAGAAUAAUUUUUAAAACUUUGAACUAUCUGGUCCUGAUGUAUGAAAAAGAAGUUUUAAAUUAUCCCCUUAUAUUUAUAGUUGUACUCAAUUUCUCUGUAACUUAAAUGUAUUAUUUUGUUUUGCCUGUUUUUAACCCUUGUAAUAACAAAAUCGUAAGGUAUAUUCAUCAUUCAUCCGAGACUUCCAGUUUUUACUCAGCAGUGUUUUUGGAAUACAUCCAUGUUGAUAUACAGUUGAUUCAUUUUUAUUAUUGUAUAAUAUUUCAUUGUAUAGACACACCAUUUUAAAAACUCUAUUCUACUGGUUCAUUGGAUUAUUUCCACUUUUUGCUAAUAUAAAUAGUGGUAAUAUAAUUUUUCUGUACAAGUCUGUUGGUGCAAGAGUUUCUCUACCAGGAGCUGAAUUGCUACAUUGUAGACUUACAGCUACUAGAUAAUACCAAAAUGUUAACCAAACUGGUUGAAGUAAUUUACAUUCCAGCUAAUAAACUUUCUGUUUCUCCACAUUCUUGCCAGUAUUUGGUCUUAAUCAACUUUUGCAUUUUUCUCAGUCUGUUGGGUACAAAAUUAUAUCUCAUUGUGGUUAUAAUUUUCAUUUUCAUAUCUACUUUUGAAAUUGAGUGUAUUUUCACAUUAUUGGCCAGUUCAUGUUUUCUUUCCUAUGAAAUGCCUGUUCACAUCUUCUGCUCAUUUGUCUAUUAGUUUGUCUUUUUUUAUUGAUCUGUAGGUCAGCUGUAGGUUUUUGAUAAACAUUCUUAAAUAUAAUUAAACUUAUCGAUAUUUUCCUUCAGAAAUUUUCAGAGUUACCUUUCACAUUUUUUUACAUGUCCCUAAUGUAACUGUAAUUGUAUACACAUACAGAAAUAUACAUAACACAUAUUGGGUGAGAUAAGGAUCUAAUUUCUUUUAUUUUCCCCUUAUGUAUUAUCCCAGCUCUUUUCAUACUGAGAAAUCCAUCAUUUUCUCCACUCGUCUGCAAUGCUAGCUUUGCCAAAUAUCUGUUUCUGGGUUUCUGGGUUCUCUUUUCUGUUCUAUUUGUUAGUUUGUCUAUCUCUGCAAGUUCUGUAUUGUCUUAAUAACUAUAGCAUUUUUUAAAAUUAAUUAAUUAAUUUUAUUUAUUUAUUUAUUUUUGGCUGCGUUGGGUCUUCGUUGCUGCCCACAGGCUUUUUCUAGUUGGGGUGAGUGGGGGCUACUCUUUGUUGCGGUGCGCGGGCUUCUUAUUGUGGUGGCUUCUCUUGUUGCGGAGCACGGGCUCUAGGCGUGCGGGCUUCAGUAGGUGUGGUGCCCAGGCUCAGUAGUUGUGGCUCGUGGGCUCUAGAGCGCAGGCUCAAUAGUUGUGGUGCAUGGGCUCAGUUGCUCCACGGCAUGUGGGAUCUUCCUGGACCAGGGAUCGAACCCAUGUCCCCUGCAUUGGCAGGCGGAUUCCUAACCGCUGCACCACUAGGGAAGUCCCAACUAUAGGUUUAUGAUAUGUCUUGAUCUAUGAUAGGACAAGACUUUCUACUUCCUUCUUUAGAAGUAACUUGUCUAUCUUUGGCACUUUGCUCUUUCAUUUAAAGUUGAGUUAGUUAAAGAGGUUAUUUGGAUUUUUAUUGAAUCUUUAGAGUUUGGGGAAGAUUGACAACUUUAAUGGAAAAGAUGGAACUUCUUCAUUCAUACAGUAUAUUCUUCAUUUACUUAGGUGUUUUUACAUAUAUUUCCAUAAGAUUUUAUAGCGUUCAACAUGAAGUUUCUUAAAUAUUUGUGUUGGAUUUAUUCCUAGAUAUCUUAUUUUUUGUGCUAUUCCCAAUGGUAUCCUUUUAAAGUUAAAAUUUGCAGCUAUUUUGCUGGUAUAUAGAAAUGCAAAGAAAUGCAAUUAAGUUUUGCCUUUGACCCUAUAUCUAGCAACCUUGAUAAAUUUUCUUAUUUCUUAUAAGAAAUAAGAUUCUUUGAGUUUUCUACAUAGGCAGUCAUUUAACUUGUAAAUAAUGCUAAUUUGGUUUCUUCCUUUCCAGUCCUUAUACCCCUUUGUUAUUUUUCUUGAUGCUCUGCAGUGACUAGAACUCCAGCACAAAGUUGUCAGGAAUGGUAAUAGCUUAUCUCCUUGUCUUAGUCCUUAUUUUUAAAGGAAAUGCUUUUAACGUUUUUACUGUGGAGUAUUAUAUUUGCUGGAGAUGUUUUUGUAGAUAUCCUUUGUUAGGUAGGCUAAGGAUGUUCUAUUCCUUUUUAGCUAUGAGUUUUCCAUUUGUUUGUAUUAUAAAUGCCUUGUAAAAUUUUUUUGAAUGCUUUUUUUAACCUCUUUUGAAAUGACCUUGUUGUUCUCCUCUUUUAAUCUGUUAAUAUGGUAAAUUACAUUAAUAAAUUCUCUAAUGGUGCAACAAUUUUCCAUCCUCGAAAUAAACCCAACUGAUCAUUAUUUUCUUAUAUAUAUAGUUGCUAAUGUUUUGUUUAAGAUUUUUGCAUCCACAAUCAAGAAUGAAGUUGGACUGUAACUUUUUUCUUGUCUGUUUUUGUAUAAAGUUAUACUAGACUCAUAAAAUUAGUUAGGAGAUGUUCCUCCUUUUAUAUUCUCUGAAAGAGUUUAAGAUUGGAAUUAUCCAUUCCUCGAAUCUUGGUACGUCUGCCUAUAAAACUGCCUGGCCCUGGUGUGGGAAAAAUUUUCUCUGUGGGAAAAAUUUUAACUACUGAUAAAAUUUUAUGAAUGAUUAUAGGCUAGGUGGUAAUCAAAUUACUUAACCAAUUAGGAUGGUUACACUAAUCAAUCAGAAAUGACCCUGGCCCUAAGCAAACUGUAUGAUCAUACAGUUGCAUAUAAGCUAAGUAUCAGCCCUUAUAUUUUAAAUUUCAGAUUUAAAAUUUCUUCUUAAGUCAGUUUUUUAAAUUUAUGUUGCCAGGAAUUUCUCCAUUUUACUUAAGUUUUAAGAUUUAUUGCUAAAUUGCUUGUAAUGUUUUAUCUGGGUAAUUUCUGUUAUAUUUUUGACUUCCUUUUCCAUUCUUAAAAUUUUACCUGCUUUUUCUCUUUCUUCAUUAAUUUGCUAAAGGUUUGUCAGUUUUAUUAAAAUUUUGUCAAUGAGCCAACAUUUUGCUUUGUUGAUCCUUUCUAUUGAAUGUGUUUUCUGUUUUGUUAAUUUUUGCUCUUAUUUUUAAUUAUUUCCUUUAUUCAAUUCUAUUUAGAUUUGGGGGGUUCUUUUUGUAAUUUCAACUUUUUUAUUAAUGUAAGUAUUAUAAAGCUAUUCACCUCCUCCAUCUACCACUUGAGCUGUAUCUCACAAGCUUUCCUAUAUAAUCAUUAUUGUCGGUUCUAAGUAUUUUCUAAUUUCGCUUUGCUUUUUCUUUUGUCCCAUGAACAAUUUAGAUUUGUGCUUUUAAAUUUCCAAGUGUUUUUGUUUUUGUUAUUAAUUGUGUAAUGGUCAGAGACUGUGGUCUAUGAGAUAGUGAUUCUUUGACAUUCGUUGAGAUUUUCUCUGUGUGCUAGUAUAUUGUCAGUUUUUAUAAUUGUUCCUGUGAACAGAAGUGUAUUCUCUAGUUACUGGGUACAGGCAUCUGCAUAUGUUCAUUAGACCUGGUUUGUUUCUUGUGAUGGUCAAAUCAUUCAUAUUCUUACUGAUAUUUUUAUCUUGUCAACUUCUGACAAAGACUUGUUAAAUUCUACCUCAGUAAUGGUGUAUUUGUCCGUUUCUUUUUCUUGUUUUGUCAUUUUUUGCUAGAUAUUUUUUGAAGCUAUGCUAUUAGAAGUAUGCAAGUGUAGAAUUGUUUCCAUCUCCCUAAUGAAUUGGACCUUCCUCAAUAAGUAAUGAACCUCUAUCUCUAGUAUUGCUUUUUACCUUAAGGUAUUUUUUACUUAUCUGAUAAUAUAUUCACACAAGUUUUCUUUUGGUCAGUAUUUAUUAAAUGUCUUUCUAUCUUUUUACUUUCAACUCGUUUAUGAACUUAUUUGUUUUAUGUCUCUCUCAUAAACAACAUGUAGCAAGAUCUUGCUUUUUAUCCAAUCUGAUAAAAAAUUUGGUCCACUUACCCUUAUUCUUAUUUUAAUAUAUUUGGAUUCCAUUUCUACCAUAUUUUAUGAAUUCUGUUCUACUUUUUCUAUAUUCUUUUUUUAUCUCCUUGAAUUUUUUUUUGGAUUAAGUUUCAUGUUUUAUUUUUGUCUUAUCUGUUUUCUCUUAAUCUGUUUUUUCCCUUUAUUUGUUUAGCACUUAUACCUUUGGUUUUUUUAUAUUUUACGGGAUGUCCUAGACUUUUUAAUAUAUGUGUAUGUGUAAUUAAGUAAAGUGUAUAACUAAUCAAAUGUGUAAUUUAAUGUCUUAAGUUAGUGUUUUACCCUCUUGAGCAAAGUACAGAUGUUUGAAUGCCUUAUUUCUAUUAUCUCCUUCCUACUUAUAUGCCAUUUUUUACUAGCAUUUUGAUUCUAUAUUAUUUCUUAACCCCAUAAUUAAGUUAUUAUUACUGUUAUUUAACACAGCCAGUGAUUGUUUAGAUUUACCCAUGUAUUCAUCAUUUUCUUUGCUAUUUUGGAUCUCUGACCUUCUUUCUGGGAUGAGUUUUCUUCAUCCUGACAUACAUCCUAUAGAAAUUUCUCUGGACCUUCUUCCUUUGACCCCUCGCAGCAUGAGGCUGUGGACUGCCCCCUGAGGAGCACUCUACUAAGAACUUCCAGAUCGUUCAGUGAGACUAUAGCAGAAAGGAACCGAGGACCGUAUUUCUAUUAACCUGGACCUAGAUGAAGGAUGUGUGGUGCUUGCUGGAGGGCCCAAUGUCACUGACAACUGACAAUUAGAAAGUUACUGCCUGAGUCUUUGAUGGUCCAGCUCAAGUUGCUACUUUGGAGGUUGGGGUCAAGAAUCGACAUUAUACCUAAGAGAAACAGCCCUUCAUAAUAACAAAGAAUAGAAAGCAACAGAAAUGCCCAUCAACAGAAGAAUGUAUGGAAAAAUUACACAGCUGAGAAAAUGAAUGAACUCCAGCCCCUUGUGAAAAGCAUGGACGAACCUAAGGAAUGUGAUGCUCAGUGAACAAAAGCCUGCCACCCUUUUCAUCAAGUCCAAAUCUAACUAACACUAAGCAAUCAGUUCUUCCAUGGGGGAAAUGAAGCAUUCACAUGGGGAAGAUGAAUCCUUAAUCACGCAGAAUGAUGAUCUGUGACUCCCUAAUUCAUCACUAAGAGAUUCUACCCUCGGCUUAGAAGUGAAGGGGGAUUUGGGACAGGACUGUACUCAGAAAAAGUGUGACGUCUCCUGCUUUCAGAGGAGGACAGAGCCGGGCAGCAGUGGCAGGUGAUGGAAAGCCUGGCCGGGGAGGCGGGGAAGCAGGCGCCAGUGUUGGGUCCCCACCUGCUGGCCACAUCCCUGCUCCUCCUUAAGUCCUGCGUCCUUGUCACUGAAGUGACAGGCUCCACCUAGGUCACCUCCAAAGCCCUCGCCAUCCCAGAGGGCCUAAUUCACAAGUCGUCCGUUUCUGCAGGCUGUUUGCUGGGCACAUCAUUUGUACAGAGGAGAGGAAUUCCACAGACCGUCAUGAAGCCAGCUCAGCUCUUCAGCCCCGCUUCCUCCCGGUGGUGGAGCCUGGCUCUUGCCAAUUUGAGUAACUGGGUCACUUCCGGUUUAAACUCUGUUGCUUUGGGGUAAACCCUCCGUCAGCUCAGGACCCUCCCACUUCUCUCUUUCCCUUUCCUUCUCUCAGGAUUAAAUUGGGAUUAUGGGAGGCUUAUAUAAGGUUUUGUUAUGUCCGUGACAGGGUGGAGAGCAAGAGCUGGUUGUGUCUGUUCCAUGGUUGUCUUUGGCCUCCAAUGAGCUGGGACCCGCCCCCUGGUCCAGAGUGUUGCCCUCGGACCCUGCCGACGGCGAGGCUCCUCCCGGCCCCCUCCCCGGUUGUGGUGCCCAGCACGUGGCUCCCCUUUCCUUUGGUCCUUCUGUGCAUCCCAUGCUGGGGGGCGGGUGUAGCUGGGAGACUUCGGCGGUCUCGCUCGGGAUCGUGCUCUAGCUGAGGGAGCGGGGAGCCCUCCCUCAUGCCUAGGUGCCGGACCUGAACAGAGACACCCGCUAAACUUCUCAGGGAUCUCCAUCAGGGCUUGUUUUGCUGGAAGAUGCUGCGCUCGUCUCAGGAGCUCGUCAGCAUCUGGACCCCAGCUCCACUGCUUCUGAGUCUCCUUCCCAGCCCUGACCCCACUGAACUCAUCUUGGUUGGAAAAACAUUUCUGAUGUUAUCCUGACUCUCCUCGCCCCUGAUUUAUUUAUGGCGUAAUUUAUUUAUGAUAUAAUACAUGCUGGGAGGACGAGGGAGCCACUUGGGAACAUGAAGAGCCAUCCAAGUUCAUGCUCAAGCGAACUUAGGUGAAAAGAAAGAUAAAUCCAUAUAUAGUUGAUUAAAAUAUUUAUAAAGACACAGGUUACUUAUCUCAAAACCUGAGAAAGGUCAGAAAUGACAGACGAGACAGUGGGGUGGAAUGAAUCUGGGUCACAAAUUGCGAUCCAAGGAGAAGGAGGGAGAAGAGGAGGGUGGGGACGCUUGGCAGUGUACGGGAGAGGAGGCCCAGGACCGAGGUGGCUUAGGUGCCUGUCCACAGGCUGGAGGUGGAGGUGAAGGUCAGGUGCACGGCUUGGGGGUGGGGCGGGCCCAGAAAAUACCCAUGAGCAGAACAAAGCUGACCGAGGAGGGUCAGGGGAAGAUGGAGGACGCAAGGAGGAGCAGCUGGGGGAAAGACCUGAGCAGGACGGUGCUGAGCUCGCCUUGAUUAGAUGACUGUGGAGAAACGGUUACAGCCGGGGACGUCCUGGAGACCUUGGUACGUGACAUACCGGAGAGGAGAGGCCCGGGCGUGUGCUGGAGCAGGCGUGUGUCAGGAGGCAGUGAUGGGAGGAGUGGCGAGCUGGGCUCGGUGCGAGGAGAAGGUCGGGGUGCUUCCCGUGAAAGCGUGUAAGUCAGGCAGCCCUCUGCCACUCCACCUCUGGGCUUGCAGUGCUGAGAGCGGAGCCGGGACACCGCUGUCUCACCUCUCUUGCAUUUAAUGUAGAAUGUGAAAUUUACAAUUCUCUUUAAAGCACUGACCAGAGAACGUGGUUUACGCAGCACAAGAGAGGAGCAUGGGAUCCGGAGCCUCCCGAACUUGGAUUAAAAUCCUAGCUCUGUAGAGAAAAUGUGGUGUAUGCAUACAAUGGAAUAUUGCGGAGCCUUAAGAAGAAAGGAAAUUCUGACUCAUGCUACAACACGGAUGGAUCUUGAGGUCAUUAUGCUAAGUGAAACUAGUCAGUCACAGAAAGGAAAAUACUAGGUAUGAUUCCACUUAUAAGAGGUGUCCAGUGUACUCAAACUCAUAGAAACAGAAAGUAGACUCGCGGUUGCCAGGGACUACAGGGAGGGGGGAGGGGGAGUUAUUGUUCAAUGGAUUCAGAGUUUCAGUUUUGCAAGGUGAAAACAUUCCAGAAAUCUUUUGCACAGUAUAUGAACAGAGUUAACACUACUGGACUAUACCUUCAAAAUAGUUAAGAUGGUAAAUUUUAUGUUACGUGUUUUUAGCACCACCAACCAUAAAAUUUUUGAAAUCCUAGAUCUUCUGGUCUCCUAGUGGCUGUGUGACCUUGACCUUGUACAAGCCAGCUAAUUUCUUAGAGUCUCGGUUUCCUCAUCUGUAAGAUGGGCAUAGAACACCCACCUCAUAAAGACAUUCUAGGACUAAAUAAAAGCAUGUAUGUGAAGCUCCGAACGUAGCACCUAGCACAUCAAAGGUGUUCACGUUUCAUUUAAAUUAAAUUAGUUCCCCUACUAUCAAAACCUGGAUGGUUUUCUUUUAAGGACCUAGACCUACUAGGUCUAGGCCUUUAGUGGCAUAUCGUAGUGCAGCCUCCACAAUACUGAGGAUGAAAUAGUUAACAGGAAGCCCCCUGAACUCUUAUUCCUAAAGAUUUGUGAUACACUACACACCAAGUGUCCCAGCAUCCCUGUUCUCGAUCAGAGGAGGGUCCCAAAUAAAGAGGUCACUCUUCCCAUCAGAAGAAGCUGAAUACAAUCUCUUCUGACACAAACUGGGCAGAAACCAAACACCACUGUCCAGAACCAUGGGUUUUCAGACUUUCUGGUAGAGAAACCCUUUGCAAAGCAGCAGUCAGUAGUAGCAGGCAUUUGGGUGAGCCCACGGCAGAGAACAAAUCUCCUUAGGAAUAUUAUUACUGAGUAUUUACCGCAUAAAGUGAAAUCUGAGCAAGUCCCAUGCAGAGACAUGAGACCAACGUGGAAUAAGCUUAGGAGAACACCGAACCUGAAAACCCGAGAUGUAGAGGACUUCAGACCAGAACGUUCUCUGAGCCACCCCUGGCUAGAGAGUUUUUCUUACCCUUCAGGGAGAAGAAUUUGGGAGUUUAUGCCAAAACUCCUUUCUAUAUCAUGUACAGUUUGUUGCAGCAAGUUGUAAGUUAUCUAGAAAUACCUGCAUGGGUCUUAUUUCGUAGUGUGGGUUCAAGCAUUCUCGACACUUCCUUCUGUCAUCUUCAUAAAGUCCUGGGUCCCAGACAGCUGCCAGCUGUUAUUACAGCAAGAUACCUGCACAGGGUGGACCCCUUCUGACUCUUGCAGUUAAAAUCCUGGUGCCUGGAGUUUCCAGGUAAGCAGUAACCCUCACACAAUGUUGUCUGGGUGUGCAGCCUGUAACAAUAGUGCACCACACCCAGAAAAACAAUAUGCCAAAAUAUUAAACUCUCCUACUCAGGCGCUAUGUCACGUAGGCCAUGCAUCUUAAGAUGUCAGAGCCCUUGAGAGGGUCAGUCAGACUGAUUUGAUACUUUCCUAUUGCUCUCAACUUUCUCAGGCUGUUUCUUUUUUUUUUCUUUUAAGGUAUUCCAUGGCUUGGCCCCACCUUGAGUGACAGCAUGGUGAAGGGGAUAGAGCAAGGGGCUUUGGCAUCAAGGCCGCAGUGAGGUGAGAUCCCAUCUCUACCUCCUUUAAUGGCUGUGUAAGCUGAUCCUAUUACUUAAUUUUUUGUAGCCUCAGAAUUCCUCCUCCGUGGAGUAGAAUUUUCUAGAAGCUACCUCAAGUUUAUGGAGAAAAGAGAGAUGGUGUAGCUGAAGGGUAAGGGCUGCUGCCUGGUCCAUAGGAGCUGCUCCCUGAGUGUUAGCUGCUGCCCCCCUCUCCCCCCACCCAUGUUGCCCUCUCAUUUCCCCUGAUUCUGAAUCUUGUUUCAUCCUUUCUAAUCCCGGAACCAGCCCUGAGGCCUUCAGCUCUUUCUCUGAUGAAGACUUUCAUUCCUGGACGCUCCCAUCCCCCCACACACUCCAACUACCUGAUAAACAGCCUCUAAUAGUCACGAAAAGUUCGUUUCUUCCCUCUUUACACACACUCUCCCCUCACCAGUUACUUCUCCCUCUUCAGAAGAAGGCUGACCGGGCCCUUCACUUCGGGCUGUGCCCACUUCCGAGUAUGUGACCCGUUGCUGACACGUCAGCGUUUCUCUCAUCUGGCCCCUCUUGGGACCUAGAUCUUUUUCAUCACACUUCCCAUCAUUUGUUUUGUGUUCCCAUCCUGUGUGUGUGUGUGAGAGGGAGAGCACGUGUCUUUUCUCUCUUCAAUGCCCGUACCCCCUUUUCACCCAGACUCCGCACCCCAUUUGUCGUCAGAGGCCCAGCAGGACAGGUCGGCCCCUACGUGAGCUCUGGCCUGCCCCUCCUUCCAGCUCAGCAUCCUGCUUGGAACUUUCUCCCAAGCAGACGCUGCUAAUUAACUCGGCCUGAACCCCGGUCUCAGGGCUACGUGUUCACAUGAAAGGGCUGUUGAGACCACAAGGACCUCCCUGCUUCCUGCAGAGGGAAGAUCAAUCUCUCCUUUCCCUUCAACUUAUAGUCAACUUUCUCCAGGAAGUGGCUGUUCCUUAUUUUAUACUAUGUCAGAGGUAGCAGUUCAAUCCUGGAGUUUCUAUUAGAGAAGUUGCAUGGAGGGUUUCAACAAGUGUUCCAAAGCAGGUUCUUUUCCCUUGGUCCUGCUCGGUGAAUUACGUCUGGCUCAUGUACAUCCUGUUAAUUUAAAGCGUGUCUCUGUGAUCUGCAAUUUCUCCUCAUCAAUACCGUUGAGGACCAAGCAGUCUGCAGAGUUUAUUUGUUCUAUCUUAUGCUAAAAACAAAAACAUGGAACUGUUUGUGACCGAGGCCUGCUCUGAUGUUUGGAAACCACACGAUGGGCUGUUGGUCCCCUGCAGCGAGUCCUGGUAGAGCUGUGGGGAUAGCUGAGGGGGUCUGAUAAAACCCAGGGCCUGGCACCCUGCAGCUUUUAAAGAGUGAGCUGAGACACGCUGCUGUUAGGAGACGCAGGAGUGCGGCUUGUUUAUCUCCACUUUCUCCAUGGACAUCUCUGGACACAUAGGGUUGCUGUUUUGUUUUGACUGAUUUGGAUUUUUUUCCCCUCACGGUUAAAAGAGCAAACAAGCUUUAAAAAUGACCUAAUCGUUGUCCAGGGUGACUUCAUGGGAAGUCACCAACCUCCCCAGAAUGCAGAGUUGGAGCAGGGCUGGUGCCAGGAAAGGAGAUUUGGAAUUCAGAAACUUUGAAGCCCUGUAAACAGCCAUGGAAGUAUUGCUGAUUUUCAACCUUGGUUCCAUGUUAGAAUUACUUGGGAAGCUUAUAAAAACCCCAAACCAGGCCACGCCCCAUAACGACAUCAGAAUCUCUGUGGGCAGGACCUAUGCCUCUGGAUUUUUCUGAAGAUCCCCAGAAUGGAAUAACGCAAUGGAGACGUGCAGGUGAUGACAGGGAUUGGCUGGAGUCAGGAGGAGAGGGAAGACGAUCGUUUCCACAAGUCACUGUGAAGCCAGAUACGUCUUGAUCUUUCGAAGCUUGCUGAUAAUUCUGCCCACAGAUAGUCGUAGGAACCCAAGGACAAACAGCGAGACAAUUCACUGGACUUGGGGCCACAAGGCAGGUGUAUUGAAGGGAAUGGGUCAUGGGCGGAACAUACUUAGACAUACUUAGUGGGGUGAGAGGAAAAGAACCUUUCUGAUGCUAGAGAUUCCAGGGGAGGAAGGGAGGUUUCCGAGGUCGUCUCUGUGGCAGGAGGACAUUUGUGGAGUGUAGGGGGAGGACACAGGUGCAGCCUGAGAGCGAACGCAACCAGAGCAAUCCCACACCCGAUGAGGGGUGCAUUUAUAUUGGGGUCCCACGCCUGACAACCCCAGGAAGUGGCCCUUUGCCCGUUCAUCAUAAAGUGAACCCUGUGGGGAGUGGAAGAUGAGUUUAGAACAGUGUCAGCCCAGCAGGCCUCAGGAGACGUGGCUGACUGACUGCAUCGAUCUAACUCCAGGAGAGGGGAGCUCCCGCAUUUUGGGGGGCCCUAUGCCCCGCAAGUCUGUGAAGAGGGUGUAUUUAUACCUAUUGUCCUAAAUGAACUAGAGGCAAAGGAGCCGAGUGAUGACCCUGAAAAGUGGGCUGGCAUUUGCAGCUACAUGGAUGGACCUAGAGAUUAUCAUACUAAGCGAAGUAAGUCAGACAAAUACCAUAUGAUAUCACUUAUAUGUGGAAUCUAAAAUAUGACACAAACGAACUUAUCUACAAGGCAGAAACAGACUCACAGACAUAGAGAACAGACUUGUGGUUGCAAAGAGGGAGGGGGCAUGGGGGGGAUGGAGUGGGAGUUUGGGAUUAGCAGAUGCAAACUAUUAUAUUGAUAUGUAAGAUGGAUAAACAACAAGGUCCUACUGUAGAGCAAGGGAACUAUAUUCAAUAUCCUGUAAUAAACCAUAAUGGAAAAGAAAAAAAGAGUGGGCUGGGACAUUUUCGACAGGCCCAAAGGUCCUGGAGACAGAAGGGGAUGUUCUUGGUACCUCUUGGAAGGAGAAAUGGCCAGUGAUUAGAUGCAAAGGAGAGGUUUUGGAAUAAAAUGGAUGUCCUUCCAAAUAACCCACCAGUAAAGAUUCUCUGGUCAGGUCCUCACAGAAGCAUUUCUAGGUAACUGUCACCCGUGCCAGGAAGGAAGACAGGAAGCAUGACUGUGGCCAUUUCCACGGCUCCCUCAAGCAUCCCCGACCACACACCUGGUCAUCUUUGGGCUGUGCCGGGUCUUAGCUGCUGCAUGUGGGAUCCUCGCCGCGCUGUGUGGGAUCUUUAGUUGCGACAUGUGGACCUCUCAGUCAUGGCAUGUUCUCCCAGUUGCGCAUGCAUGCGGGACCUUAGUUCCCCGACCAGGGAUCGAACCCAGCCUCCCUGCAUUGGGAGCACAGAGUCUUACCCACUGGACCACCAGGGAAGUCCCUGGAAAUGACGU